AGAGUUUGAUCAUGGCUCAGGACGAACGCUGGCGGCGUGCCUAAUACAUGCAAGUUGAACGGCUGAAGGACUGGUACUUGUACUAGUUGGAUGAGUAGCGAACGGGUGAGUAACGCGUGGGUAACCUACCCCUUAGCCGGGGGACAACUAGUUGGAAACGAUAGCUAAUACCGCAUAACAACUCACUAACACAUGUUAGUGAUUUUGAAAGCACCAAUUGGUGCAC
This 226-nucleotide ribosomal RNA is filed under the name uncultured bacterium. RNAcentral describes it as "partial 16S ribosomal RNA". It matches the Rfam family "Bacterial small subunit ribosomal RNA", at positions 8 to 218 of the family's 1533-position model. The record is from RNAcentral.